This is a long non-coding RNA of Macrobrachium nipponense, 674 nucleotides long. RefSeq lists it as uncharacterized. Lineage: Eukaryota; Metazoa; Arthropoda; Malacostraca; Decapoda; Palaemonidae. The transcript has 2 exons. The record is from RefSeq and is a predicted model, not a curated record.
GGGGAUCCCUGAGUUCCUUUCAAUACAGUCGGCUCUCAAGCACUGCACGAUGAUAUCCAAAAUGAUUACUGCCACUUUAGCCUUGGUCCUUUUCGGGGUAGUAGCAGCGGGUCCUGUUGCUGAACCCGAACCCGAAGCUGAUCCUGGAUUCCACCGAGGAUUUGGUGGAGGAUUUGGAGGAUUUGGUGGAGGAUUUGGAGGCCAUGGAUUCGGAUACGGAGGCUACCGAGGAAAGAGGAGCAGUAGCUGAACCCGAAGCUGAGGCCUGGAUUUAUUCACCGAGGAUUUGGUGGAGGAUUUGGAGGAUUUGGUGGAGGAUUUGGAGGCCACGGAUUCGGAUACGGAGGCUACCGAGGAAAGAGGAGCCCAGUAGCUGAACCCGAAGCUGAGCCUGGAUUUAUUCACCGAGGAUUUGGUGGAGGAUUUGGAGGAUUUGGUGGAGGAUUCGGAGGCCACGGAUUCGGAUACGGAGGCUACCGAGGAAAGAGGAGCCCAGUAGCUGAACCCGAAGCUGAGCCCGGAUUUAUUCACAGGGGAUUCGGUGGAGGAUUUGGAGGAUUUGGUGGAGGAAUUGGUGGAUAUGGUGGCCGAUAUUAUGGUUAAGGCAAAACUGUCAAGAUCAGACAUAUGUUUUGGCUAUAAAUAUAAGUGAAUAAAGACCUUUUUUGAAACAA